UGAAAAUCUGUGGAAAUACACCACCGCUCCCCAUCUAACUUAAGAGGUUGAAAAAAUCUGCAAGGAAGAAUGGGAGAAAAUUCCCAAAUCCAGUUAUGCAAAGCUGAUAGACAUACCCAAGAUGACUCAAAGCUGUAUCCCCACCAAAGGUGCUUCUACAAAGUAUUGACUUGAGUGUGAAUACUUAUGUAAAUGAGACAUUUCUGUAUUUCAUUUUCAAUACAUUUGCUAAUUUCUAAAAACAUAUUUUCACUUGUAUUUAGAUGGGUGAACAUUUUUUCUUUUGAAUUCAGCCUGUAACACAACAAUGUAGAAUAAGUCAAGGGUAUGAAUACUUUCUGAAGGCACUUGGUAAGUGUGAUUUUGUAAAUGUGUGAGUAUGACAUUCCUGCCUGUGUGGGUUUGAGCAGCUGUGACAGGAGGCCUCUUCAGGCUGAACCUGGGUCUGGGAGGACUGGUGGCAGUCACGGCCAUAGGAGCAACCAUGGGGGUGCCGGCAGGAGCUCUGAUCAUCGCCAUGCAGGGAUUGGCUGGAGCUCUGAUCAUCGCCAUGCAGGGAUUGGCAGGAGAAACGGUCUGGGAGAGGAGGAGGAGGGAGCGCAGAGAGCUGUAUGAACUAAAACUGGCAGAAUGGUACAUUCCAUGGGCAUCAAAACACACACACACAACACUUUUACUCCUAGUAUUCACUCACUUUUUCCUACGCCCUCAAGGAGUGCCCGUUUGUAGUUGACGGAUGACCUGACUGCUGAUUUGAGCAGCAGUGGGCGGACCCAGGAUGUAGACAAGGACAUACAGAAGAUCCAGGAGCUGCUCAGUUUACCACGGAACGAGUCCUUGGCCCAGGACUGACAGCAGCUGAAAUACUCAGAUACCAAUCAUAGCCAUCCUCACAGACAGACAAUGGUGGGUGGGACUUUCCUCACCCCUGAGGAUAUACUGGUUUCUGUUGAUGUUGACUACUCUAUUCUUUUUACUUCUGUUGAAUGGAAAAGGGGCCCUACUUAUUCGCUCAACAAAAUAUGUAUUGAUGCUGUAUUAUGAUUUAUACUGUAAAUGUGAUUGCUUUGUCGAACUUUUAAAUGAUUUCCAACAUAUUUCAUAUAAAUGGCAAUAAUGACACAGUA
This is a long non-coding RNA of Salvelinus namaycush (lake trout), 1127 nucleotides long. RefSeq lists it as uncharacterized. Lineage: Eukaryota; Metazoa; Chordata; Actinopteri; Salmoniformes; Salmonidae. The record is from RefSeq and is a predicted model, not a curated record. The transcript is spliced from 2 exons.